GUGAUUUUUCCUUCUGACAUGCUCUGAGCAGCCAAGGAGAAAUCCCCAAGGGCAAGAGGAAAAGAGCCCAUAGGCGGCUGCAGCUGAAAUGAAUACCUCUUGAGUUCAAGGGAGCCCUAGCGAAUGGCUCUAUCAUUGCACUACUUUUAGAUGAAUAAUAUGAGGGGGGCCUCAAAUGCCCUCGUGAGGCCUUAGCUUCAGCUGGCGUGGGCUGCUUCUUUUUCUUUUUGUUAACAACAGUUUCCAGUCUUUGGUAUAAGGAACUCCUGCAACACUCACCUCAAAUAACGUGGCUAUUUGUUCGAAGGUCCAAAUAACCUGGUUGCUUUUUUUAAGAUGUCAAAGAACGAUGAUGAUCAUCAGCUUACUAUUGACAGUGGAAUUAAAAAUAUGAAUAGGAUGUCCUCUGAACUGAAUAAACUUAUUGUAAAAUCCCAAAUGCUGCUUUGUGACCUUAUACUGACAUUCAGUCAACCAGUGCAAGAUGUUUCAAGAGAAACUGAAGAAAAGAACCAAGAAGACUUGAAAAUGAAAGAUGCAACUUCCAUUUAUUGUCCUUCUUUGUCAGUUUCUCAUUCAUAGUACUGCAGUGCUUUGCACGAAAUAGUUUAACAGUGAGAGGAAAGGAAAUAAACUUUACCUGGCUAAUUUUUUGACAUA
Sceloporus undulatus (fence lizard) is the source of this 660-nucleotide RNA transcript. It is a transcript of the gene named chromosome 2 C5orf58 homolog, with no coding region annotated. The record is from RefSeq and is a predicted model, not a curated record. The transcript is spliced from 3 exons. NCBI's taxonomy places the organism in Eukaryota, Metazoa, Chordata, Lepidosauria, Squamata, Phrynosomatidae.